ACGGGAGGCAGCAGUGGGGAAUAUUGGACAAUGGGGGAAACCCUGAUCCAGCGACGCCGCGUGAGUGAAGAAGUAUUUCGGUAUGUAAAGCUCUAUCAGCAGGGAAGAAAAUGACGGUACCUGACUAAGAAGCCCCGGCUAAAUACGUGCCAGCAGCCGCGGUAAUACGUAUGGGGCAAGCGUUAUCCGGAUUUACUGGGUGUAAAGGGAGCGCAGGCGGCAAGGCAAGUCAGAAGUGAAAACCCGGGGCUCAACCCCGUGGAUUGCUUUUGAGACUGUUUAGCUAGAGUGCAGGAGGGGCAAGCGGAAUUCCUAGUGUAGCGGUGAAAUGCGUAGAUAUUAGGAAGAACACCGGUGGCGAAGGCGGCUUGCUGGACUGUAACUGACGCUGAGGCUCGAAGGCGUGGGGAGCAAACAGGAUUAGAUACCCUGGUA
RNAcentral lists this ribosomal RNA (435 nucleotides) under uncultured Lachnospiraceae bacterium. RNAcentral describes it as "partial 16S ribosomal RNA". It matches the Rfam family "Bacterial small subunit ribosomal RNA", at positions 341 to 792 of the family's 1533-position model. The record is from RNAcentral. Lineage: Bacteria; Bacillati; Bacillota; Clostridia; Lachnospirales; Lachnospiraceae.